CCAGCUGCCACCCACACAGCCCUGCCCAGGGAGCACCAACACCAGGGGCACCUGGGCAUUCCUGCCUGCACAUGGCUCACAAACCCCCAGAGCUCAGACUGCAGCUUCUCCGCUUUCAUUCUUCCAGGAGCUGCUUUUUAUUUCAGGGGGUUGAAGCGAAGCAAUCCCACAAGCAGCCAGCCCAGGAUGGUCUCUGGUGCCAGAGGUCUCGCUCUUACCUCCUCACCAAUAGAGAUGCAGGCUUUGGAGUCCAGAUCUCUGGGCGGCCUGCACAAAAAUAAAAUGGAAAAUAUUUGAAA
Molecule: long non-coding RNA, 299 nt
Organism: Melospiza melodia melodia
Lineage: Eukaryota; Metazoa; Chordata; Aves; Passeriformes; Passerellidae
Exons: 2
Source: RefSeq, a predicted model, not a curated record